CCCAGAUCCUGUACCCCCAUAAGAGAUAUCUUACCAAGCUGUUCUGUCAUUUUUUUUUUCAUUUUUUGGCCUCUCCCAUGCUCUUUUCCAAUGAGGCACCAGAGAGACAGAUGAACAGGAUACUGGCCCUGCUCUCACGGAGCUCUGGAAGUAACGGAGAGGACAGAUUCAUGCGCAGCCAAUCACAGACCUGGGAACGCCGUUACAGUGGCAAAGAAUAAGCUAUCGAUGUUACAGCGACCCUCCAAGGAGCCCAAGAAUUUCCUGAGUUGGAGAAGAGGGGUCAGGGCAGGGGGAUUCUAGAGGGGUGCGUGGGAGAGUAAACCUCACGUCCAGCAGAGACCGAAGGGGGCUCCUCGCAGGGAGGGAUGGGGGGUGAGAGGCUGCAGAGGUUGCCUGGGGCCUGCUGGGACUUGACCUAGCUGACAGUGGGCACCAUUGAGAAAUGUGCAGUGGGAAGUGGCGGGGCCACGUUUGCAUUCUAGGAGGAUGUCCUGGCAGCCGGGGAGGGUGGUCUGCAGGGGCCAGAGUGGAGGCCGGAAGGCCAGCGAGGGGUUGUCAAAUGUGGCGUCCAAAGCAAUGCCUCCAACUGCCAGCGGAGAGAAGUCUCAUUAGCAAAAAGAAGGAGGAAUUGCUCCUGCCACUUAGACUGCAAAAAACCCAAGUUCAACAUAAAAUAAAAUAGACUUUUUAUUUUCUGAUUUUGCAUUUUCUAUUAUCUGUCCUUCUUUUGCUGUUCCGUGUCAUCUCCUUGUUUCCUCUCUGGUUUUCCAUGAGUUCUUUGCAUACUUUGUUUUCAAUUUUAAAAUGCAUAUCUUUCCGUAUAAAGUUAAUGGCCCUGCCUCCCUGCAGCUGGGGAGACCUGAGUUCAAAUCCCAGCUCUGCUGUUUGCCGCCUGCUGUUCCUUCUUUGUGAAAGGGGAGGUUUCAGUCCCUCUCCGAAAGGGGCAUGUGAAGAGGAGGUCAUGCCCAGCAGAUAUUUACGAGGAUGUCUAAGACAUGGGAACUAGGACGAUUGUUUUCAAUAUUAUGCUUCUUUAAAAGGCUGUUUUAGCUGUUUAAGCAAUCCAGGCAAAGAUAAGGUGCUGAGUUCUAUGAAGAGAACACAGAGAGAUUAAUUCCAGAGAUACGUCAGGGGUGAGGACGACCUCACCUAACAGGUGACUGUCAUGCCUGUGAGAAAAUACCUUUUCCAAAUGGUGCCGUCCACUUCUAUCUCUCCACGGAAGGAUGGUGAAGUCUUCCACCUGGAGCUCCUGAGAGAACAGUGGGCUUAGUGGAAACACCACACACCUGGCUGGGUGUUUUCAGGUGGAGACGCUGAGGGCUGUUUCUUUCCAGUCCUGGAAGACGCGGAAUUUCUUCUCGGCAGCUUUGCUCGGCCUGCGUCUGAGCGGUAAGUCCAGCCCUCCCUGCCACAUCUUUUGCAGGCUGAUUCUUAUUCAUCCUUCACUUCUCAGCUCCAAUCUCACCUUGGCAGUGAGGCCACAGCCAUCUGCCAAAGGGACCCGGGUCGCUCCUUCCCACAUCCUGUUUUAUUCAUUGUCUGAGUGGCGGCGUUCAUUUUCCUGUUUACUUGUGGACUGAUUCGUUUCGUCUUCCCUCCCUGGCAUGUGCACUGUGCACUACCGCAUCUUCAGCACCUAAAACAAUGCCUGCAACGCGGUGGACACUGAGGAAAUAUUGUUGGCUGGAUGAGGAAACUGAGACACAAAAAUGGGGGAUGACUUGCCCAGGAAGCUGGACCACAUCACACAACGUUACUAUUGUAAUACCUUUAUCAAGAGUACCUCACAUGGCAACAAUGGGAGAAAAAUCAUACAGCUGGCUGCGUCAGGGAGAAAAGGAAGGGUGCCCCGGAGGCCACGGGAGACCAAGACAAUCCCUCUGUGGCUCAGAGUCUGGUAAUGGCUUAAUUAUCUUGCGGGGGAAAAAAAUGUGAACUGGCUACACCUCCUGAUCCAUGAAAUUGCAAUUACCCUGAAGAGUCGUUCAUCAACUGCCCUUUUGAAGGUGGGAGGGACAGCAUCUGAGGCUGCACAUUUUGACGCACACACAGCUUCCCACAGUGACACAGUGGGAGGGACGGUGGCCGGGGUGAGGAAUCCCGAACGCGGCUUCCCCUCUGCCUUGGCUACACAGGCGUUCUUUGGUUCAUUGCUUCUCCUCUCUGCACUGCAUCUGCACUGCACAUUCUUUACUUAAAAUAUGGCUGUGGUUCAGAAGAUGGGUUUUUGCCCACUUAGGGCAUGUGCUCACUGAUUUAAAAACUUCUCCACUCCCUACCACUCUCUGUUGUCUAAUGAUGCAUUUCAUUUCAUUGAUUGAUUGAUUGACUGAGAUGGAGUCUCCCUCUGUCACCCAGGCUGGAGUACAGUGGCACAAUCGUGGCUCACUGCAACUUCCACCUCCUGGGUUCAAGCGGUUCUCCUGCCUCAGCCUCCCACGUAGUGGGAAUGCAGGCGCCUGCUACCACGUCCAGCUAAUUUUUUUAUUUUUAAUAGAGAUGGGGUUUCGCCAUAUUGGCCAUGGUUGGCCAGGCUGGUCUUGAACUCCUAACCUCAGGUGAUCUGCCCGCCUUGGCCUCCCAAAGUGUUGGGAUUACAGGCGUGAGCCCCUGUGCCUGGCCCUGCAUUUCAUUCUUUUAAGUUCUAUGUUUGGCACAUGUCCGAAAGCUGGGCUGCCAGAUUUAGUAAAUUUAGUAUAAGUAUGUGUUGUGUAGUAUUUGGAACAUGCUUAUAUUUUAAAAGUAUUAAUUUUUAAUCUGAAAUUAAAACGUAACUGGGCAUCCUGUGUUUUAUCUGGGCAUUUCACAGAAGCAUUUGAGUUUGAGACUCCUAGACUAGAGGGUUUGUGAGGUAUAUUUCAGCUCUAAAAGUGUAUAGCCAUCAACUCAUUCAGUAAUCUUACUGGGUGCCUGUGGCAUAUAUAUUUUUGCUUUCUGGGAAAUACAGUUGGAACCCUG
Molecule: long non-coding RNA, 2964 nt
Filed under: Homo sapiens (human)
Lineage: Eukaryota; Metazoa; Chordata; Mammalia; Primates; Hominidae
Description: HSALNT0235007
Source: RNAcentral